Molecule: ribosomal RNA, 1346 nt
Filed under: uncultured bacterium
Lineage: Bacteria
Description: partial 16S ribosomal RNA
Rfam family: Bacterial small subunit ribosomal RNA
Source: RNAcentral
GACGAACGCUGUCGGCGUGCUUAACACAUGCAAGUCGAACGGAAAGGCCCUGCUUUUGUGGGGUGCUCGAGUGGCGAACGGGUGAGUAACACGUGAGUAACCUGCCCUUGACUUUGGGAUAACUUCAGGAAACUGGGGCUAAUACCGGAUAGGAGCUCCUGCUGCAUGGUGGGGGUUGGAAAGUUUCGGCGGUUGGGGAUGGACUCGCGGCUUAUCAGCUUGUUGGUGGGGUAGUGGCUUACCAAGGCUUUGACGGGUAGCCGGCCUGAGAGGGUGACCGGCCACAUUGGGACUGAGAUACGGCCCAGACUCCUACGGGAGGCAGCAGUGGGGAAUAUUGCACAAUGGGCGGAAGCCUGAUGCAGCAACGCCGCGUGCGGGAUGACGGCCUUCGGGUUGUAAACCGCUUUCGCCUGUGACGAAGCGUGAGUGACGGUAAUGGGUAAAGAAGCACCGGCUAACUACGUGCCAGCAGCCGCGGUGAUACGUAGGGUGCGAGCGUUGUCCGGAUUUAUUGGGCGUAAAGGGCUCGUAGGUGGUUGAUCGCGUCGGAAGUGUAAUCUUGGGGCUUAACCCUGAGCGUGCUUUCGAUACGGGUUGACUUGAGGAAGGUAGGGGAGAAUGGAAUUCCUGGUGGAGCGGUGGAAUGCGCAGAUAUCAGGAGGAACACCAGUGGCGAAGGCGGUUCUCUGGGCCUUUCCUGACGCUGAGGAGCGAGAGCGUGGGGAGCGAACAGGCUUAGAUACCCUGGUAGUCCACGCUGUAAACGGUGGGUACUAGGUGUGGGGUCCAUUCCACGGGUUCCGUGCCGUAGCUAACGCUUUAAGUACCCCGCCUGGGGAGUACGGCCGCAAGGCUAAAACUCAAAGGAAUUGACGGGGCCCCGCACAAGCGGCGGAGCAUGCGGAUUAAUUCGAUGCAACGCGUAGAACCUUACCUGGGUUUGACAUGGAUCGGGAGUGCUCAGAGAUGGGUGUGCCUCUUUUGGGGUCGGUUCACAGGUGGUGCAUGGCUGUCGUCAGCUCAUGUCGUGAGAUGUUGGGUUAAGUCCCGCAACGAGCGCAACCCUUGUUCACUGUUGCCAGCACGUUAUGGUGGGGACUCAGUGGAGACCGCCGGGGUCAACUCGGAGGAAGGUGGGGAUGACGUCAAGUCAUCAUGCCCCUUAUGUCCAGGGCUUCACGCAUGCUACAAUGGCUGGUACAGAGAGUGGCGAGCCUGUGAGGGUGAGCGAAUCUCGGAAAGCCGGUCUCAGUUCGGAUUGGGGUCUGCAACUCGACCUCAUGAAGUCGGAGUCGCUAGUAAUCGCAGAUCAGCAACGCUGCGGUGAAUACGUUCCCGGGGCU